AGAGUUUGAUCCUGGCUCAGAAUGAACGCUGGCGGCAGGCCUAACACAUGCAAGUCGAACGGGCACUUCGGUGCUAGUGGCGGACGGGUGAGUAACGCGUGGGAACAUGCCCCUUUCUUCGGAAUAGCCUCGGGAAACUGGGAGUAAUACCGGAUAAGCCCUACGGGGGAAAGAUUUAUCAGGAAGGGAUUGGCCCGCGUUGGAUUAGGUAGUUGGUGGGGUAAUGGCCUACCAAGCCGACGAUCCAUAGCUGGUUUGAGAGGAUGAUCAGCCACACUGGGACUGAGACACGGCCCAGACUCCUACGGGAGGCAGCAGUGGGGAAUCUUAGACAAUGGGGGAAACCCUGAUCUAGCCAUGCCGCGUGAUCGAUGAAGGCCUUAGGGUUGUAAAGAUCUUUCAGAUGGGAAGAUAAUGACGGUACCAUCAGAAGAAGCCCCGGCUAACUCCGUGCCAGCAGCCGCGGUAAUACGGAGGAGGCUAGCGUUAUUCGGAAUUACUGGGCGUAAAGCGCACGUAGGCGGAUCAGAAAGUCAGAGGUGAAAUCCCAGGGCUCAACCUUGGAACUGCCUUUGAAACUCCUGGUCUUGAGGUCGUGAGAGGUGAGUGGAAUUCCGAGUGUAGAGGUGA
This 630-nucleotide ribosomal RNA is filed under the name uncultured bacterium. RNAcentral describes it as "bacterial SSU rRNA". It matches the Rfam family "Bacterial small subunit ribosomal RNA", at positions 8 to 684 of the family's 1533-position model. The record is from RNAcentral.